AGCCGGGGAAGCAGCGGUUCCCUGUACCUGAAAUCCGCUAUAGCAGGGGUGAUGAUCCGGCUGAGGGUGAUUUUGCAUGACAUAGCCCGGCAGUAUAUGUGUUGAUAUCCGGGUCUUGCGCAACAGUACGCCGUGAACCGUGUCAGGCCAGGAAUGGAGCAGCACUAAGCGGAUGUUUCUGUGUGCCGCAAGGGUGCCUUGAUUGAGCAUAUUCCG
This 216-nucleotide signal recognition particle RNA is filed under the name bovine gut metagenome. RNAcentral describes it as "Bacterial large signal recognition particle RNA". It matches the Rfam family "Bacterial large signal recognition particle RNA", at positions 8 to 222 of the family's 256-position model. Rfam says of the family: The signal recognition particle (SRP) is a universally conserved ribonucleoprotein involved in the co-translational targeting of proteins to membranes. Archaeal SRP consists of a 7S RNA and homologues of the eukaryotic SRP19 and SRP54 proteins. The record is from RNAcentral.